Molecule: ribosomal RNA, 504 nt
Filed under: uncultured bacterium
Lineage: Bacteria
Description: partial 16S ribosomal RNA
Rfam family: Bacterial small subunit ribosomal RNA
Source: RNAcentral
AUUGAACGCUGGCGGCAGGCCUAACGCAUGCAAGUCGGACGGUAGCACAGAGAGCUUGCUCUCGGGUGACGAGUGGCGGACGGGUGAGUAAUGUCUGGGGAUCUGCCCGAUAGAGGGGGAUAACCACUGGAAACGGUGGCUAAUACCGCAUAACGUCGCAAGACCAAAGAGGGGGACCUUCGGGCCUCUCACUAUCGGAUGAACCCAGAUGGGAUUAGCUAGUAGGCGGGGUAACGGCCCACCUAGGCGACGAUCCCUAGCUGGUCUGAGAGGAUGACCAGCCACACUGGAAAUGAGACACGGUCCAGACUCCUACGGGAGGCAGCAGUGGGAAAUCUUGCACAAUGGGCGCAAGCCUGAUGCAGCCAUGCCGCGUGUAUGAAGAAGGCCUUCGGGUUGUAAAGUACUUUCAGCGGGGAGGAAGGCGAUGAGGUUAAUAACCUUGUCGAUUGACGUUACCCGCAGAAGAAGCACCGGCUAACUCCGUGCCAGCAGCCGCCGUAA